GAAAGUAAACAAGGGCGCAUGGAGGAUGCCUAGGCUCUCGGAGGCGAAGAAGGACGUGAUAAGCUGCGAAAAGUUACGGUAAGGCGCAAAUAGCCCUAGACCCGUAAAUAUCCGAAUGGGGCAACCCGGCCAGCAAUGGCCAUACCGCCAAGCGGUAAGCCAACGCGGGGAACUGAAACAUCUAAGUACCCGCAGGAAAAGAAAAUAACAAUGAUUCCGCCAGUAGUGGCGAGCGAACGCGGAACAGCCCAAACCACUCGUGUUACGGCACGAGUGGGGUAGAAGGAUCCACGCCACGGCAAGAAAUAAGUUAGCAGAAUACGAUGGAAAUCGUAGCCAAAGACGGUGACAGCCCAGUACGCGAAAACCGACAGAAGCCCAGUGGACACCUGAGUAACCCAGGACACGAGAAAUCCGGGGCGAAUCAGCGGGGCCCAUCCCGUAAGGCUAAAUACUCCCGAGAGACCGAUAGCGAACCAGUACUGUGAAGGAAAGGUGAAAAGCACCUCGAACAGAGGAGUGAAAUAGUCCCUGAAACCGUCUGCCUACAAGCGGUCGGAGCAACGUAAGUUGUGACGGCGUGCCUUUUGCAUAAUGAACCUACGAGUUACUUUCUCCGGCAAGGUUAAGGGCUUCAGGCCCGGAGCCGAAGCGAAAGCGAGUCUUAAUAGGGCGUGAUAGUCGGAGUGAGUAGACGCGAAACCAAGUGAUCUACCCUUGGUCAGGAUGAAGGUUGGGUAACACCAACUGGAGGUCCGAAUGGGUAUACGUUGAAAAGUGUUCCAAUGAACUGAGGGUAGGGGUGAAAGGCUAAUCAAACUUGGAGAUAGCUCGUACUCCCCGAAAUGCAUUUAGGUGCAGCCUUUAUUUAGUAUAGCAUGAGGUAGAGCGACUGAUUGGAUGCGAGGGCUUCACCGCCUAUCAAGUCCAGAUAAACUCCGAAUGCGUGCUAUAUAUUGAUAAGGAGUGAGGGCGCGGGUGCUAAGGUCCGCGUCCGAGAGGAGAAGAAUCCAGACCAUCAGCUAAGGUCCCCAAAUAACAGUUAAGUUGAACUAACGAAGUCGGACUGCAGAGACAGCUAGGAUGUUGGCUUGGAAGCAGCCAUUCAUUUAAAGAGUGCGUAACAGCUCACUAGUCGAGGAGUCCGGCGUGGAUAAUACUCGGGCAUAAACUGUUUACCGAAGCUAUGGAUGUAGAAAUACAUGGUAGGGGAGCAUUCCAACGGCGUCGAAGGUGAAGGAUGACCUUUGCUGGAGCUUUUGGAAACGCAAAUGUAGGUAUAAGUAACGAUAAAGGAGGUGAGAAACCUCCUCGCCGAAAGACUAAGGUUUCCUGAUCAACGUUAAUCGGAUCAGGGUAAGUCGGGACCUAAGGUUAAGCCGAACGGCGAUACCGAUGGAAGAAUGGUUUAAUAUUCCCAUACUACUUUAUGGAGCGAUGUGGAGACGGAGAAGUGAAAGUCCUGCCAUCUGACGGAAUAGGUGGUUGAAGAGUGUAGAUGUAGAUUCCUGUAGGCAAAUCCGCAGGGAGAGUCGACCUUGAUAGUAUGCCGCGUGCUUGCACAAGGCAAAAUGGACGUAAUCAGGCUCCCAAGAAAAUCCGCUAAGCAUAUUCAUAAAGUACCCGUACCGUAAACGGACACACGUAGUUGGGUUGAAAAUACUGAGGCGCUCGAGUGAUUCACGGUUAAGGAACUAGGCAAAUUGACCCUGUAACUUCGGGAUAAAGGGUCCCUACUGAGAGGUAGGGCGCAGAGAAUAGGUCCAGGCAACUGUUUAACAAAAACACAUGGCUGUGCGAAAUAGAAAUAUGAAGUAUACAGCCUGACACCUGCCCGGUGCUGGAAGGUUAAGAGGAGAGCUCAUCGCAAGAGAAGGCUUGAAUUGAAGCCCCAGUAAACGGCGGCCGUAACUAUAACGGUCCUAAGGUAGCGAAAUUCCUUGUCGGGUAAGUUC
This 1955-nucleotide ribosomal RNA is filed under the name human gut metagenome. RNAcentral's name for it is "bacterial LSU rRNA". It matches the Rfam family "Bacterial large subunit ribosomal RNA", at positions 1 to 1983 of the family's 2925-position model. The record is from RNAcentral.